RNAcentral lists this ribosomal RNA (492 nucleotides) under uncultured bacterium. Its description in RNAcentral is "partial 16S ribosomal RNA". It matches the Rfam family "Bacterial small subunit ribosomal RNA", at positions 29 to 507 of the family's 1533-position model. The record is from RNAcentral.
AGUGAACGCUGGCGGUAGGCCUAACACAUGCAAGUCGAACGGCGGCACAGUAAGAGCUUGCUCUUACGGGUGGCGAGUGGCGGACGGGUGAGGAAUACAUCGGAAUCUACUUUUUCGUGGGGGAUAACGUAGGGAAACUUACGCUAAUACCGCAUACGACCUACGGGUGAAAGCAGGGGAUCUUCGGACCUUGCGCGAUUGAAUGAGCCGAUGUCGGAUUAGCUAGUUGGCGGGGUAAAGGCCCACCAAGGCGACGAUCCGUAGCUGGUCUGAGAGGAUGAUCAGCCACACUGGAACUGAGACACGGCCCAGACUCCUACGGGAGGCAGCAGUGGGGAAUAUUGGACAAUGGGCGCAAGCCUGAUCCAGCCAUACCGCGUGGGUGAAGAAGGCCUUCGGGUUGUAAAGCCCUUUUGUUGGGAAAGAAAAGCAGCAGGUUAAUACCCCGCUGUUCUGACGGUACCCAAAGAAUAAGCACCGGCUAACUUCGUG